Molecule: non-coding RNA, 4557 nt
Organism: Meleagris gallopavo (turkey)
Lineage: Eukaryota; Metazoa; Chordata; Aves; Galliformes; Phasianidae
Source: RefSeq, a predicted model, not a curated record
GACAGCAAGGCAGAAUAAUACUGUGGAAGGAAUGGACAUUGGCCCUGUGAUAACUAGGAAAUAAUGUUCUUAUAUCUUCCAUGAAAUACAGCUGCCAGAGAGAUAUACCAAUGUGCUGUGGAGACAUACGUAGCAUAAUCAAGCCAAUUCAAAAAGAAAAAUACAUGCCCUGAAGACUACUUUAAGAAAGUUUCAGCAUAUUAGGGAGAAUGAUGAAGGACAACUAUGUGAUUGUAAAUGUUACAACCUAGGCCAACAUGAAAUUUCUUCUAUUGAGUUCUUCUGACUGUGGUCAGGAUACAACACGCUUUUUGGCUGGGUCUGUAACAGUAAGAUUUAUUGUAAUGAGGUAAGACUAGAGCUGAAGUCCAACAACUUCUUAAGACAUUUUUGCCAGACAGAAUUGAACCUCUUCUUGUCCAAAAAGACUGCUGCUAGAUUUUGCUGCACAGUACCAUUUUUUUUCCUGAUACGGCAGUUUUUUCAAUGAAUCUACUUCUGGUCAGCCAUAGCUUUUAGAAGAUUAGUAGUUGACAUUCACCUACUUACUGUAAAGUGUAGGACAUGCGCAUCUGAGUGGUAUUGGUGGCCUAUCACAAAUUAGAAAGCCUGUGUUCUUUACUGUUUCAGUCAUUACAUUUGCUACUAUGAAUGAGCCACAGCAUUAAACAGUUCAGACUUAUAUCAGUACAAUAUUAAUAUGCACUGAGGACAGUCAGUGUAAUGGUCACAGUUUAAUGAAGAUUAUAAAGUGUUUUCAGAAUGAUGUUGGACUCUGUUUCUGAACUAUAUUCACCUUCUUUACAACCAGAACAUAGAAAAUGCUUUUAGAAGGUCUAAAAAUCUUUCUUAAUGUGGCUUUCUUGUUCUUUUUCCAUACUAGGUACCAUUUUGUAGCAAUGAGAAAGCUAUUCAUGGCUCUAAUGUCAAUGAUCUUUUUAUUUCUCCUGCUUUUAUCCUCAUUAACAUUAGUACAUCAUGCAUUCCAUGUUUCCUGGUAUUCUGGACAGGAGGGUCAUAGAUGGUCUUCACAACUUGUUCUUAACAUUCACUUGCAUGUUGUGCGAUUUUUAAUUUUCAAAAUAUAAUUAAUAAUGUAUCACUUAAAUGUGGACAAAUUUAAAGUUUUCUGAAUGUAAUGUCAUAUUAUAUAUAAGCAACGGUUAAUUCCAAAAAGUGCUGGAAUUUCCCAUUGAGUGAGAACAUUCUUUUUUACAUUGAACAGUUUUUUGUCUAUGGUGUUUCCUUUGACUGUUUAUAAUACUGCAUAUUAAAAAAGAUGGGUUGUAUGAGGACAAAGACUAACAAAUAGAAAAAUAAUCCUUUGCAAACUGUAAAGUGAUUUAGAUUGUUUCUGAAGCUUUUCAUGAACCUACUGCAAAUAUGGAAUGAUAAUAUUGAUAGGAUAAAAAGUUGUUUCAAUUUUCUAAAACAUAGGAGGUUUUCUAAAUGAAUUCUAAAUUGAAAUUAAUUUGAUAUUUUGUUGAGCACAAAAAUGUGUAGUAGAUUUGACAUUGAAUUUUAGGUCUGGAUUUUUAUUUUGAAUUUUAGGUUAACUAUCCUACAGAAAAAGAUGGAUGCCAUGUAGACAGGGCAAGAAAAAAAUUAGAAAGCAUUUUAUUUCAUUUAGUCUUUAUAUCUUAUACUCAUAAAAGUGAUUUAUCUUUAUGAGUUAUACUGACAGAAAGUUUUAAUUAGUCAUACAAAAGUAUAUCUGAUACUACAGAAUUAAAACUAGUAUUGAGUGUCAAAUUUUGUGCAGUCACCACAGUGUUAAAGUACUGCCAUGCUAUGAUCUAAACACAAAUUUUUGAAAAUUCAUAGCAGCAAAACUAAUGCGUUCUAUUUUUGCAUCCAUUAUCCGUUGUGUAAAACAUGCUUUUACAAGUGGGUGGUGAUGAACAUGUUGCAAGACAGAGAAUUAAUAACCUUAUGCAGUUUUUAUCUACAUGCAACUACUAUUUCCACUCCUAAUUACAUUGUCAUCACUAAACGUGGAUCUCUAGAGUUAGUCAUUUUGGUAGCAACAUAAUAUUCUCAUGGUUCUUCUCAUGUUUGAAUGCUGCUGUUUAGACACACGCAUGACGAGAAGAGAGUAUAAGCAAAAUGCAUUUCUUCCAAAUUGAGGCAAUCCAAAUAUUUUUCUUUCUAGAAGAGUGUGUGGCUUAGCUAUUUCAUUAUUCUUUUUUUUAAUGCUAUUACAUUCAAUUAUGCAAUGCCCAAUGGGAGUAUUUAUAAAGAUGCCUUACAAACAGCUUUAAAUUAUACUAUGACAAAAAUAUGGAAAAAUAUUCAUUUGGAAUAGAAACAGUUCUUUUGUGAAUAAUAUGGUUUGUUUUGAUUAUUAUUUUUCUUCUGACCGACUUAAUCUGUUGAAAUCUUUGAAACAAGGAAGGGAUGAGCCUCCUUCUGCGUGUGCACCUUCUAUAGGAAAUGGGACCUGCAAAGAAACUUUGAGAAUUUGGUCUAUGGCUCCUAUGUUCUGACUGACUUCAGCUGUAACUUUUAUAUAGAAAGUUUACAUGCCGUGAAGAAGAAAAAGCAAGUUUUCUCAAGUGCCAUUGAAAAUAGGCAGCUUGGAGGACUGGACAACUGGAAAUAUGAUGCUAGAGCCACCAUCAUUUUUUGCCACAACUCAGUCUGAUUAAAGAUAACUUGUUGCAUGUAGUGGGUUGUGUAGGCACAUGCUGCAUUGCUUUUUGUCAGCUAGUGGAUUUCUGAGAACUUUUUAUCCUUUGUUGGCUCUGUAAUGUCUAGGAUGGAUUCUGAGAUACCUGGCAUUGCAGAGUAAGCAAAAGACUCCCAUCUCAGCAGUCAUCAUUCUUGUCAAGAUCUAGAAUGAAUGUGUUCAACUGUGCUGUGGUAAAUGGUGGUGCUCCUAGUACAUGAGGUUUUUUUUUCAUCCUAGAAUUAAAUGCAAGAUAGGAUUAAAUUUGCCAAAUGAUUUUGAGUAUGAGGAAAAACAUCUUUAGGCACCUACUGCCACUUCUCACUAAUUCCAGGAAAUUGCAGCAUUGCUUCUAGGAUAUGGGAGAUAUAAUUUAUUUCUCUUUCUGUAGGCAGCAAUGUACCUAAUCGUAAAAGAAUAUCCUAACUCCAAGGAUACUUCUGUUUGUCUGUGCUAUGCUGCUUUUACUGUACAGUGCUGUUCUUUCAAUCUGUUCUAUUAGAUUUUUACCUCGUUUUAUAAGAUACUUAUUUCUGAAUGGUAAAAAUGAGUAUGAUCUAGUUUCAUAGGGACAUGGGAGACUUGGAUUGGUCCAGAUGCUUACUGAUCAGAUGCUCACACAAUAUUUAACAAUGUUACCAGUAUAAAUGAGCCAGAAGGUUUCCUGAGAGGUUGAAAAUGAAGAUCCUAAUAAUUUUUGGCAGUAGACAAAACCAGUCUGAAUCUCACAUACAUAUUUUUGUUCCUAUUCCUAUCAAGCUACUAUGUGAGUCACUUUGCUUUUUUUUCUUUUUCUUUCUCUUUUUUUUUUUAACGUUGGAAGCUUUUUUUAAAAAAAAAAUCACUAAGGAAAGAAUUCCAUCUUUGCUUCAGCUCAAACCUCCCUGCUAAAAUAAUGAAGCAAAAUUACGUUAACUCUGUUUUGCAUGCUUUGUGGAUCUAAAUUUAUCUUUCUAUAAAACAAGAAAUUUGCCAGAGUUAAUAAGUAAGAGCCCUUUCUGCUUCUUUCCUACAGAUUCCUACUACAUGUAAAAUUAACCAUGCUUGUGCCUAGGACACUGUGUUAAGUAGAUGUUUUCUGUUUGAUUGCCAUCCAGUCCACCUGGAAGGCUGUAGCUUCUUUUUCCUUGUCUGCAGAGUAGGAAAAACAAUAAACAAACAAAAAAGCCAAUGGAAGACUGGCUGGUGUUUGCUCUGCUUAAUAACUUUGGGUAGUUUUCAGGAACUGUUCUAUAAAGAAUUGUCAAAUAACUCUCCUGGACAGAGCAAUUAUCUGGAUGCUGUGCAGUAGAUUCUCUCUAGGCAUCUUCAGGCUUGUUUCCUGUCUAAUGAUUUGACAUCGAUAUACUCUAUUCUCUCAUUUAGUGUAAUUCUGCCACUGAACUAGUUACUGAUCUAAUGAAACAAAUGCACUGGAAUUUUCCUGUGCCCACGGUGUACCUAAUAAAAGCUUUGUGGGAACAUGGGGCACAAGAAAUCAGAAAACAGUAAGUGUUUAUGUAGAACAAAUAAAAUAUUGCUAAAUAUAUAACAUUGAUCUUAAUAUUACAAAAAUGAUGUAAUGACAAGUUUGUGUCAUUCAUCCAGAUGUAAAAUGUCUUUUUCAAUAAGUGGGGUAUCAAAAAUCUUGGUUCAUUGUCUAGAAGAGAAGCUAUGAAUAAGACAAAGAAGACAGCUUUUCUGAAUAGUAGAGAAAUGAGUACAUGAAUAUUCAUUUCACUUAAUAUUCAAGUUUCAGGUUUGCUUGCUAUAUCAAUGAGAGUCAAUUUUCAAAUUUCUGUGAACAUUCUUAGAAAUUCUGUUGCUGGCAAUAUAAGCAAAUUAAUGUGAAAGAGAAGCAAUCUAGAUCAUUUGUCCUGAAGUAAAGUGGUUGAAGUGUCAUAGUCUAC